This 356-nucleotide unclassified non-coding RNA is filed under the name soil metagenome. RNAcentral's name for it is "partial contains 5.8S ribosomal RNA, internal transcribed spacer 2, and large subunit ribosomal RNA". The stretch from base 1 to 120 matches the Rfam family "5.8S ribosomal RNA", at positions 35 to 154 of the family's 154-position model. The record is from RNAcentral.
GAUGAAGAACGUAGCGAAAUGCGAUAAGUAAUGUGAAUUGCAGAAUUCAGUGAAUCAUCGAAUCUUUGAACGCACAUUGCGCCCGCCAGUAUUCUGGCGGGCAUGCCUGUUCGAGCGUCAUUUCAACCCUCGGGCCCCGCACUCGUGCGGGCUCCGGCGUUGGGGACCGGCCCCCGCAUCGGACGGCCCCCCCCGAAACCCAGUGGCGGUCCCGCCGCGGCCUUCUCUGCGUAGUUGCAUACACCUCGCUCUGGAGAGCGGCGCGGCCACGCCGUAAAAGAAACGAACUUUCUCAAGGUUGACCUCGGAUCAGGUAGGAAUACCCGCUGAACUUAAGCAUAUCAAUAAGCGGAGGA